GACGAACGCUGGCGGCGUGCCUAAUACAUGCAAGUAGAACGCUGAAGGAGGAGCUUGCUUCUCUGGAUGAGUUGCGAACGGGUGAGUAACGCGUAGGUAACCUGCCUGGUAGCGGGGGAUAACUAUUGGAAACGAUAGCUAAUACCGCAUAAUAGCAGUUGUUGCAUGACAACUGUUUGAAAGGUGCAAUUGCACCACUACCAGAUGGACCUGCGUUGUAUUAGCUAGUUGGUGGGGUAACGGCUCACCAAGGCGACGAUACAUAGCCGACCUGAGAGGGUGAUCGGCCACACUGGGACUGAGACACGGCCCAGACUCCUACGGGAGGCAGCAGUAGGGAAUCUUCGGCAAUGGACGGAAGUCUGACCGAGCAACGCCGCGUGAGUGAAGAAGGGUUUCGGAUCGUAAAGCCCUGUUGUAAGAGAAGAACGAGUGUGAGAGUGGAAAGUUCACACUGUGACGGUAUCUUACCAGAAAGGGACGGCUAACUACGUG
This 495-nucleotide ribosomal RNA is filed under the name uncultured bacterium. RNAcentral's name for it is "partial 16S ribosomal RNA". It matches the Rfam family "Bacterial small subunit ribosomal RNA", at positions 28 to 507 of the family's 1533-position model. The record is from RNAcentral.